AAAUGCUAGGCAAGUGCUCUACCAUCAAGCCACAAACCAAGCCCUAUAUUAGACCUUUACAGGUAGUAGAACCUGAGCUUUACUUUAAUACUAAAUAUUUUGACUACUAUAAGGUCAAAAUAUACAGACUAUCUAGAGGUUAGAUGGAACACUAUUUUGUGGCCCACAUAUUUCUUUUUGAGUUAAAUGGGUGCCUCUGUACCAUUAUUAUAUUGCUUGAAUUGUGUUCUGUUUUCUAAACUGCUUACCUAUUGUUAUUUUAUGUACUGAUCAAAGUACCUAUGUGUGUAUUGGGUUUUUCACUUGGUUAGCUAAAGAAGAUGUAAAAGUAUAAUCUAAAC
Molecule: long non-coding RNA, 341 nt
Filed under: Marmota monax (woodchuck)
Lineage: Eukaryota; Metazoa; Chordata; Mammalia; Rodentia; Sciuridae
Source: RNAcentral